AGAAAAGGGAAGCAUCUAAAAAAGAUUGGAAGAAUUUCUCACCACUCUGCAGGCAGCUGUCUCCUCCCAGCACCCAGGACCUGAACUCAGAAACUACCAGCAACACAGACGAACUCCGGGUGAGGACGACAAGAGCUGAGCUCGGGUGCUUGCCUUCUGCACUCUCGGGAGGAGGCACCAGCAUGGGCACCCUUCACAGUUCGGGCCCCUCACUCACAAACGUCUGGCACAUGGAAACAAGCUGGCAAAAAGAUUGUUUUUUUCUUCUGUACUUUUUGUUAUAAGCCUGUGGUGAAGUGUCCAUAUCUGGCAUAAAUGAAUGUGAGUG
Molecule: long non-coding RNA, 328 nt
Filed under: Homo sapiens (human)
Lineage: Eukaryota; Metazoa; Chordata; Mammalia; Primates; Hominidae
Description: LHRI_LNC1012.1
Source: RNAcentral